UAAGAUUGGUUUUGCAUGUUAACUUGAACAGUCUUGAUAAUUGAUGAUGAGUUCUAAUUUUAAUAAUGAUGAUAAUCUGAGCCUGUCUUAAACUUAUGUAACCGGUUAGCACUUAAAGUUUAACAAUUUUAAUCCACUUGGUUCAAGGGUUACAUAAUUUGUUUAUGAGGGAAAAUCUUGGUAAAUAUUUAUGGAAAUUAGUGAACUGGCGGUAAAGGUUGAAAUGAUGUAAAAGCUUGAGUUUGGGGGAAUCUAUGGGAUAUAUAUAUACCAAAAAAAAGAAAAAAAAGAAAUGAUGAAAAGAAAAAAAAACAAAAUCCAGAAAAAGAAAAAAAAAGAGAGAAUAAACACCGUAACAUGCUUGUCUAGUUUUGUGGCCUUUGUUACUUAAGUAAGUAAGCCUGAGGGGAUUGUCUUUACACCUAGCGCCCUAAGGUCUUAAUGUCUUGGGAGUAGUUGGUCGAAAGCUCGUUAAGGUAGCAUUGAAAAGCCUAAUGGAAUAAGACAUUGCACAGCCAUGAGAAAAUGAAAUAAAAAAAUGAAUAACACACGAGAAAGAGCAAAAAUGCCCUCGUGGUUGAAUA
Molecule: long non-coding RNA, 584 nt
Filed under: Panax ginseng (ginseng)
Lineage: Eukaryota; Viridiplantae; Streptophyta; Magnoliopsida; Apiales; Araliaceae
Description: long non-coding RNA (PGIN_LNC005420)
Source: RNAcentral